This 2854-nucleotide ribosomal RNA is filed under the name Escherichia coli O157:H-. RNAcentral's name for it is "23S ribosomal RNA". It matches the Rfam family "Bacterial large subunit ribosomal RNA". Lineage: Bacteria; Pseudomonadati; Pseudomonadota; Gammaproteobacteria; Enterobacterales; Enterobacteriaceae. The record is from RNAcentral.
GGGUUGUGAGGUUAAGCGACUAAGCGUACACGGUGGAUGCCCUGGCAGUCAGAGGCGAUGAAGGACGUGCUAAUCUGCGAUAAGCGUCGGUAAGGUGAUAUGAACCGUUAUAACCGGCGAUUUCCGAAUGGGGAAACCCAGUGUGAUUCGUCACACUAUCAUUAACUGAAUCCAUAGGUUAAUGAGGCGAACCGGGGGAACUGAAACAUCUAAGUACCUCGAGGAAAAGAAAUCAACCGAGAUUCCCCCAGUAGCGGCGAGCGAACGGGGAGGAGCCCAGAGCCUGAAUCAGUGUGUGUGUUAGUGGAAGCGUCUGGAAAGGCGCGCGAUACAGGGUGACAGCCCCGUACACAAAAAUGCACAUGCUGUGAGCUCGAUGAGUAGGGCGGGACACGUGGUAUCCUGUCUGAAUAUGGGGGGACCAUCCUCCAAGGCUAAAUACUCCUGACUGACCGAUAGUGAACCAGUACCGUGAGGGAAAGGCGAAAAGAACCCCGGCGAGGGGAGUGAAAAAGAACCUGAAACCGUGUACGUACAAGCAGUGGGAGCACAGAGCAAUCUGUGUGACUGCGUACCUUUUGUAUAAUGGGUCAGCGACUUAUAUUCUGUAGCAAGGUUAACCGAAUAGGGGAGCCGAAGGGAAACCGAGUCUUAACUGGGCGUUAAGUUGCAGGGUAUAGACCCGAAACCCGGUGAUCUAGCCAUGGGCAGGUUGAAGGUUGGGUAACACUAACUGGAGGACCGAACCGACUAAUGUUGAAAAAUUAGCGGAUGACUUGUGGCUGGGGGGGGUAGAGCACUGUUUCGGCAAGGGGGUCAUCCCGACUUACCAACCCGAUGCAAACUGCGAAUACCGGAGAAUGUUAUCACGGGAGACACACGGCGGGUGCUAACGUCCGUCGUGAAGAGGGAAACAACCCAGACCGCCAGCUAAGGUCCCAAAGUCAUGGUUAAGUGGGAAACGAUGUGGGAAGGCCCAGACAGCCAGGAUGUUGGCUUAGAAGCAGCCAUCAUUUAAAGAAAGCGUAAUAGCUCACUGGUCGAGUCGGCCUGCGCGGAAGAUGUAACGGGGCUAAACCAUGCACCGAAGCUGCGGCAGCGACACUGUGUGUUGUUGGGUAGGGGAGCGUUCUGUAAGCCUGUGAAGGUGUGCUGUGAGGUAUGCUGGAGGUAUCAGAAGUGCGAAUGCUGACAUAAGUAACGAUAAAGCGGGUGAAAAGCCCGCUCGCCGGAAGACCAAGGGUUCCUGUCCAACGUUAAUCGGGGCAGGGUGAGUCGACCCCUAAGGCGAGGCCGAAAGGCGUAGUCGAUGGGAAACAGGUUAAUAUUCCUGUACUUGGUGUUACUGCGAAGGGGGGACGGAGAAGGCUAUGUUGGCCGGGCGACGGUUGUCCCGGUUUAAGCGUGUAGGCUGGUUUUCCAGGCAAAUCCGGAAAAUCAAGGCUGAGGCGUGAUGACGAGGCACUACGGUGCUGAAGCAACAAAUGCCCUGCUUCCAGGAAAAGCCUCUAAGCAUCAGGUAACAUCAAAUCGUACCCCAAACCGACACAGGUGGUCAGGUAGAGAAUACCAAGGCGCUUGAGAGAACUCGGGUGAAGGAACUAGGCAAAAUGGUGCCGUAACUUCGGGAGAAGGCACGCUGAUAUGUAGGUGAAGUCCCUCGCGGAUGGAGCUGAAAUCAGUCGAAGAUACCAGCUGGCUGCAACUGUUUAUUAAAAACACAGCACUGUGCAAACACGAAAGUGGACGUAUACGGUGUGACGCCUGCCCGGUGCCGGAAGGUUAAUUGAUGGGGUUAGCGCAAGCGAAGCUCUUGAUCGAAGCCCCGGUAAACGGCGGCCGUAACUAUAACGGUCCUAAGGUAGCGAAAUUCCUUGUCGGGUAAGUUCCGACCUGCACGAAUGGCGUAAUGAUGGCCAGGCUGUCUCCACCCGAGACUCAGUGAAAUUGAACUCGCUGUGAAGAUGCAGUGUACCCGCGGCAAGACGGAAAGACCCCGUGAACCUUUACUAUAGCUUGACACUGAACAUUGAGCCUUGAUGUGUAGGAUAGGUGGGAGGCUUUGAAGUGUGGACGCCAGUCUGCAUGGAGCCGACCUUGAAAUACCACCCUUUAAUGUUUGAUGUUCUAACGUGGACCCGUGAUCCGGGUUGCGGACAGUGUCUGGUGGGUAGUUUGACUGGGGCGGUCUCCUCCUAAAGAGUAACGGAGGAGCACGAAGGUUGGCUAAUCCUGGUCGGACAUCAGGAGGUUAGUGCAAUGGCAUAAGCCAGCUUGACUGCGAGCGUGACGGCGCGAGCAGGUGCGAAAGCAGGUCAUAGUGAUCCGGUGGUUCUGAAUGGAAGGGCCAUCGCUCAACGGAUAAAAGGUACUCCGGGGAUAACAGGCUGAUACCGCCCAAGAGUUCAUAUCGACGGCGGUGUUUGGCACCUCGAUGUCGGCUCAUCACAUCCUGGGGCUGAAGUAGGUCCCAAGGGUAUGGCUGUUCGCCAUUUAAAGUGGUACGCGAGCUGGGUUUAGAACGUCGUGAGACAGUUCGGUCCCUAUCUGCCGUGGGCGCUGGAGAACUGAGGGGGGCUGCUCCUAGUACGAGAGGACCGGAGUGGACGCAUCACUGGUGUUCGGGUUGUCAUGCCAAUGGCACUGCCCGGUAGCUAAAUGCGGAAGAGAUAAGUGCUGAAAGCAUCUAAGCACGAAACUUGCCCCGAGAUGAGUUCUCCCUGACCCUUUAAGGGUCCUGAAGGAACGUUGAAGACAACGACGUUGAUAGGCCGGGUGUGUAAGCGCAGCGAUGCGUUGAGCUAACCGGUACUAAUGAACCGUGAGGCUUAACCUUACAACGCCGAAGGUGUUU